RNAcentral lists this ribosomal RNA (1405 nucleotides) under activated sludge metagenome. RNAcentral's name for it is "bacterial LSU rRNA". It matches the Rfam family "Bacterial large subunit ribosomal RNA", at positions 1174 to 2602 of the family's 2925-position model. The record is from RNAcentral.
AUCGGGCAUAAAACAUACUACCGAAACUGUGGAAUAGAAAUAUUGGUAGGAGAGCAUUCCAAACCGCAAAGAAGGUUCGUCGUGAGAGGGGCUGGAGCGUUUGGAAGAGCAAAUGUAGGCAUAAGUAACGAUAAUGCGGGUGAGAAACCCGCACACCGAAAGACUAAGGUUUCCCGGUCAACGUUAAUCGGAUCGGGGUUAGUCGGGACCUAAGGAUAACCCUGUUUAAAAGGGGAUUUCGAUGGACAGCCGGUUAAUAUUCCGGCACUAGUAAUAUGAGCGAAGUGUGGACACAGGAGUGACAAGUACGCGUACUGACGGAAUAGUACGUUUAAGGGUGUAGAUAUAGGAACUAUAGGCAAAUCCGUAGUUUUUGUCGAACCUGAAAGUACCGCAAUCCUUCGGGAGAGUGGAUAGUUACUGUAAUCAGACUGUCAAGAAAAAGCGCUAAGCAUAUUGUAUUACCACCCGUACCGCAAACCGACACAGGUAGUCGAGAAGAGAAUUCUAAGGUGCUCGAGUGAUUCAUGGCUAAGGAACUAGGCAAAAUUGUCCUGUAACUUCGGGAGAAAGGACCCCUCGCGAGAGGGCGCAGAGAAUCGGCCCAGGCGACUGUUUAACAAAAACACAUGGCUUUGCAAAAUAGAAAUAUGAGGUAUAAGGCCUGACACCUGCCCGGUGCCGGAAGGUUAAGAGGAGAUGUCAUCGCAAGAGAAGCAUUGAAUUGAAGCCCCGGUAAACGGCGGCCGUAACUAUAACGGUCCUAAGGUAGCGAAAUUCCUUGUCGGGUAAGUUCCGACCUGCACGAAUGGUGUAACGAUCUGGGCACUGUCUCAGCCAUGAGCUCGGUGAAAUUGUAGCAACGGUGAAGAUGCCGUUUACCCGCAACGGGACGGAAAGACCCCGUGAACCUUCACUACAACUUAGUAUUGAGUUUGGAUAAAUGAUGUGUAGGAUAGGUGGGAGACUGUGAAGCAGGUACGCUAGUAUCUGUGGAGUCAUUGUUGAAAUACCACCCUUUAUUUAUUUGAAUUCUAAUCCCUGAACAGGGAAACAGUGCUUGGUGGGUAGUUUGACUGGGGUGGUCGCCUCCAAAAAAGUAACGGAGGCUUUCAAAGGUACCCUCAGCCCGGUUGGUAACCGUGCGUAGAGUGCAAUAGCAUAAGGGUGCUUGACUGUGAGACAAACAAGUCGAGCAGGUAGGAAACUAGGAUAUAGUGAUCCGGUGGUUCUGUAUGGAAAGGCCAUCGCUCAAAGGAUAAAAGGUACUCCGGGGAUAACAGGCUGAUCACUUCCAAGAGCUCAUAUCGACGAAGUGGUUUGGCACCUCGAUGUCGGCUCGUCACAUCCCGGGGCUGGAGAAGGUCCCAAGGGUUCGGCUGUUCGCCGAUUAAAGUGGCACGCG